RNAcentral lists this ribosomal RNA (253 nucleotides) under uncultured bacterium. RNAcentral's name for it is "partial 16S ribosomal RNA". It matches the Rfam family "Bacterial small subunit ribosomal RNA", at positions 524 to 776 of the family's 1533-position model. The record is from RNAcentral.
UACGUAGGGGGCUAGCGUUGUCCGGAUUUAUUGGGCGUAAAGAGCGUGUAGGCGGCCAUGUAGGUCCGGUGUGAAAACUCGAGGCUUAACCUCGAGAUGUCAUCGGAAACCAUUUGGCUAGAGUCCGGAAGAGGAGAGUGGAAUUCCUGGUGUAGCGGUGAAAUGCGCAGAUAUCAGGAAGAACACCGAUGGCGAAGGCAGCUCUCUGGGACGGUACUGACGCUGAGGCGCGAAAGCGUGGGGAUCAAACAGG